Molecule: long non-coding RNA, 1172 nt
Organism: Drosophila mojavensis
Lineage: Eukaryota; Metazoa; Arthropoda; Insecta; Diptera; Drosophilidae
Exons: 2
Source: RefSeq, a predicted model, not a curated record
GCAUGCGUAGGGAGGGACGAAAAAAACAGGCUUAUAGGAGAAUAGGCUAGGCAUGCUGAGCUAGGUAGACGGAUAGCUGGAAUUGAGAAGUUGAAGGUUGAAGACAAUAAAGAGAUACAUACGUACAUAUGUAUGUAUGUAAAUUAUAUACAACUCCAAUAAGUGUUAAGUAGAGCUUAUAAGAAUAUUAUGAAAUGCGAAUUCGAAUAAGUAAGCGAGAAAAUUUACCUUAACUGGCAGAGUGUGGGCUUUUAAUUGCAUAUAAUAACAGUACGAAAUUCGAAUUCGAUAUCGAAAUAUAACAGUGUUUGCUAAACUAUAGCCAAGAUUAUCCCAAAAAGGCAGACAGUGGGCUUUUAGUUCAUAUGAAUAGUACGAAAUUCCAGCUCGAAUAUGAUCCAUGUAUUUACAUACAUAUGUAUGUAUGUAUGUAUAUUUAUACUAAAUAAAAUAGAGGUCAAUAGACACAUUGAAGGCUGGUUCUGGCCAGGUGCUCAAGCAAAGCCAAGCGAGUCAGAUCUGGCCUGGGCGGAAGUAUCAGCUACAUGACGAACAUCAGCAACAACAACAAAAACAAUAACAACAACAACAGCAGCAAUAAUGAUGACAGCAUUUAACGCGUCGUAUGAGCAAUACGAAAAUGGCAAAAAACCUCUAAAACUUGCUUCCUACUUCUAGAGACUAUUUAAAGCGAGUGCGAGAGAGCGAGAGAGAGAGAGAAGGAGACAUACUGCGUUCGUGCGUGUGCAAAGAAGGGCAGGACAGGUUUUCGAGCCAGCUAGAGCCAGCGUAGCUGCUGCUGGGACCCUGUGCCUUUAGCAUAACCUUGAACUUCAAAAAAGCACGUACGAGCAGCUUGUUAAUAGGCCUACCUGCCAGACGAGCAAAACAUACAUACGCAUGUAUGCAUGUGUGUGUGUGUGUAUGUAUGUAUUUAAAUUAGCGCAUGUGUGUGACUGGAACAUUGAUAAAAGCGACGCGAGCUACUUAAUAUCAUUAUACAUAAAGAGAGCGAGUUAUAUAGGCGCAAAAAUAUAUACAUACAUCAAAAAGAAAAAAAAAACGUUCCAAGAAACCCAAAGCUCAAGACUGGACGACGAUUGGUCAAGAGCAAAGUCAAUGAACUUGCCAAAAUUAUAUAAAAACAAAAUAUAUACGCAAAAAAAAGAAAA